Corapipo altera (White-ruffed manakin) is the source of this 979-nucleotide long non-coding RNA. RefSeq lists it as uncharacterized. The record is from RefSeq and is a predicted model, not a curated record. The transcript is spliced from 8 exons. Lineage: Eukaryota; Metazoa; Chordata; Aves; Passeriformes; Pipridae.
GCUCCCCUCAGGGCAUUCCCACUCUCCUCAGGCAUUUCCCACUCCCCUCAGGCAUUUCCCACUCCCCUCAGAAGUGUUCCCGUUCCCCUCACAGCACUCCUGCUCCAAUCAGGUCCAGGUUCCAGUGUUCACAUUGAGGCAGCUCCCUGUAACUCUCAUGCUUCAAACCAGUGGGGUUUAAAAGUUCUCAAGCUAUGUUAGCACUACAUCCAAACCUUGGAAAUGCCCUUUCUGCAGAUGAGAACAUCCUGAGACCAUUUUUGGAAACCCACUGGAACUGAGGCACACCAACAAUCCAUCUUUGCUCCGCAAGAUCCAUGUUACCACAGGACCUGAAGUGUCAGCACUGGACUUGAUCUUCGGUGAUGCUCAGCCCAAAUGCCUUCACUCCCCUCCCUUAUUCACUUCUUGAAGACAAGAGGGACAUGGUGAUAAUUUCCAUGACAACAUAGAAAGAUUCCAGAAACAGAGAUUUCUGACUAAAUAUAUGAAGGUUGUUGAAAAGCACAACUGCAAGAAUUCUGCCAACUCAGUGGGAAUAACAGACAGAAGAGUUAAGCCUCUGUGCGUGUGACAGUGCUGGUACCACCUGUAAAGUCCUGGGAUUCCCAUAUCCUGGUUAUCCCAGGGAUGGGAACUGGGCAUCCUCUCUGCUUGGGUGUUUCAGGAACUGAUCCAAAGAGAAACCUCUGGAUGGACAACUGCUAAAGAGAAUGUGACUCGGGGAAAAAGGAAACCUUCAAAAGAAUGAGAAGUGUGAAAAACUGCCUACAAAAUGCUGCUCCAAGGACAUAUUUUGCCCAAAUAAUCACUUUCAGAAACAGUCAACAUGCUUUUAAAGAAAAAUAACCUGGAAAAAUAGCGAUAUAAAAGUUCCCUUUGAAGAGACCCUGUAAGGCUGAAGCUUGCAUUUGAACAAAUCUCUCCCUAAGUUUCUAAGAACACUUUCUAAACCGCCAUUUAAAACCUUUCAGUUACU